RNAcentral lists this ribosomal RNA (397 nucleotides) under uncultured bacterium. Its description in RNAcentral is "partial 16S ribosomal RNA". It matches the Rfam family "Bacterial small subunit ribosomal RNA", at positions 338 to 795 of the family's 1533-position model. The record is from RNAcentral.
CCUACGGGUGGCAGCAGUGGGGAAUAUUGGGCAAUGGAGGAAACUCUGACCCAGCGACGCCGCGUGAGUGAUGAAGGUCUUCGGAUUGUAAAGUUCUUUUCUAAGGGAAGAAGAAAGGGACGGUACCUUAGGAAUACGCCUCGGCUAACUACGUGCCAGCAGCCGCGGUAAUACGUAGGCGGCAAGCGUUAUCCGGAAUGACUGGGCGUAAAGGGUGCGUAGGUGGUUUGACAAGUUAGUAGCGCAACUCCGGAGCUCCACGUAGGAACUACAGGUGUAGCGGUCAAAUGCGUAAAUAUAGGUAAGAACACCAGUGGCGAAGGCGGCUUGCUGGGUCGAUACUGACAUUGAGGCACGAAAGCGUGGGGAGCAAACAGGAUUAGAUACCCGAGUAGUC